Molecule: long non-coding RNA, 1804 nt
Organism: Acanthochromis polyacanthus (spiny chromis)
Lineage: Eukaryota; Metazoa; Chordata; Actinopteri; Pomacentridae
Exons: 2
Source: RefSeq, a predicted model, not a curated record
UUUUUUUUUCCUGAGCGCGACGUGCGUGCAGGCAGUGGAGGGGCGGGGCCGAGCGGUGAUUGACAGGCAGACAGCGAGAAGGCGGGACUAAGGCUUGACUGACAGCUGUUUGGUUUGACAGCUGUUGGCACUAAAGGACGCCUGCAGUGCAGCUGGAGAUGCGCUGGAGCUGCAUUAAUCCAACAUGCUGAGAGGUGCUGCACAGACUAGACUUCCCUCCGGUCCUCGUCCUCCCCGCUGCUGCUGCUUCUUUCCAGGCUGUACAAGUCAACAGGAGUGGCCUGAUUUUUUUGGCAGAGACUCCACAGUGGCCACAACUGACUGACAGAACAGGCAGGGAAAGCGUAACGUGCAGAUGGUGGCGGGCUGUGAUUGUCGAAAUGCAAAUGUUCCCAUUAAAGGGAUAAACUUUCCCUCUUUAUCUAAUCUUCACAACUGCAUGAGCUUAUCACUCUCACUCUGACAGACACACAACACGUCAUUAUACAGCGUCGUGGAUCCUCCAGCGCUGUUUACACUUUGAUUUACUGAGAUGAAAACAUUUUCUUCAAUCAGACAGGCGCGGCUCUUACCACAAGCCCCGUCAGUGUGUGACAGCCAAGCAUGAACGCUAAACAUGAUUAGCAGCUACAAGAGGCGGAUUGCAAAGUUACAACUGGCCAUCAACAUUGUGACAAGAUUACUGCAUGAUGCAAGCCCGAAAUGAAAUCUGAUGUCUGCAUGUGUGUGAGCAGAAACAGCCAAAGAGUGUGCCUACUUUCUAGUUUGUGACUAAUAGAUCUAAUUUUCAUUUAGCUGAACACAUUUUAUAUCACAGCCUUUAAAAUAGAGCUGACACAGUUUGAGUGUCUUCAGACGGCCGUGCUGCUGCUGCUCACACACACUCAGCAGCACUGACUGGCUAUAUUUAUAAGCCAUUACAUAACAUGUUAAACUGCUCGUUGGGGAAAACUGAGGUGACCCAGUUAAGACAGCAACCUGGCUUAAUUUAUAUUAGUCAGAGAAAGAGAGACUGGGACAGACUGUACAUUCAUAUUGUGUUACUGUGCUACUGAGAGCAGAAGUCUAGCAGACGACCAGCUGGGAGCAAUAAAAAGGAGGGAAAGUUAGAAAACAUGCAUUAUGCUGUCAUGUAAACAGUAUUUUCUACAUUUUGUUCACUGUAGUACUGAAAAAGACCAAGGAUGCACUAUGGCAGGGGUGUUAAACAUGCGGCCCGUGGGCCAAAAGAGGCCCCCCAGAGGGUCCAAUCCGGCCCACUGGACGACUUUGUGAAGUGUAAAAAUUACAGAGAAGACAUUAACUGCAAAUUGUAAAUUUGUAAAUCUGUAAAUUUAAAAUAAUUUCUAGAUCAUGACAACUUGUUUUGAUCAUUAAGUAAAAUACUAGAUUGCUCAUUGUUCUUUUGUCUCAUUUUUGAAAUAUUUUGUCCUGUUUUUUGUCUGACUUUUGUCAUUUGUUUCAUGUUUUUGUUGUUUUCCCUUUUUGUCUCGCUUGUGUUUUUUGUCUUAUUUUUGUCAUUUUGUGUUCACUUCAUGCAUUGUUUGUCUCAUUUUUGUCGUUUUGUUUUUUCGUCUCCCUUGUGUCGUUUGUCCAUUUUUUUUAUCACUGUCUGGUUUUUGUAAUAUUUUGUCGUUUUCAUUGUUUUUUGUCUGUUUAUUUCGUUCUUUUGUUGUUGUGAUCAUAAAGUAAAAUACUAUAUCCUUCAGUUUCAGAUACCUGUGACUAAAUGUUUUGUACCUUUGUAGAUACUCUGUGAUCUGUAGGUUUUAUUGUGUAAAUGAUAAACUGAGGCAUAAUUUUG